This 287-nucleotide ribosomal RNA is filed under the name uncultured bacterium. Its description in RNAcentral is "partial 16S ribosomal RNA". It matches the Rfam family "Bacterial small subunit ribosomal RNA", at positions 1083 to 1368 of the family's 1533-position model. The record is from RNAcentral.
AGUCCCGCAACGAGCGCAACCCUUGUCCUAUGUUGCCAGCGCGUAAUGGCGGGGACUCGUGGGAGACUGCCGGCGACAAGUCGGAGGAAGGUGGGGACGACGUCAAGUCAUCAUGCCCCUUAUGCCCAGGGCUGCAAACAUGCUACAAUGGCCGGUACAAAGGGCUGCGAAACCGUGAGGUCAAGCGAAUCCCAUAAAGCCGGUCUCAGUUCGGAUUGGAGUCUGCAACUCGACUCCAUGAAGCCGGAGUCGCUAGUAAUCCCGGAUCAGCAACGCCGGGGUGAAUA